Molecule: long non-coding RNA, 3422 nt
Organism: Equus quagga
Lineage: Eukaryota; Metazoa; Chordata; Mammalia; Perissodactyla; Equidae
Exons: 3
Source: RefSeq, a predicted model, not a curated record
UGCUCCAGGAGGCAGACAGCAAACAUGGCCCCAGGGCUCCCAGCCCCUGGGAGAGCCAGGCUGAGCCUUAUAAAGGGACCGAUCCUGGCCCAGGUGCACAUCUCCCGCAUCCUUCUCCUCAGUGACGCCUCCUCAGCUCUGCCUGAGAUCCUCAUCCGUACAAGAUGACCGGACCAAACCUUCCUGUUGCUGCUUUCAGCUCCUCUGCGACAACUGCUGUGGAAACGGCCCCAGUGGCAGCUGGGGACACCACCCUCCCUCUCCUCCUUGUCAUCUCUCCUCACUGCAUUCACCUGCCUGUCAGGCCCUGGUACAUGAGAGAGCUGUCUUUCCCAGGACGUCAAGGUCCUGGCAUCAAGAUUCUGCCUCACAAGGCCAAGCAGACUGAAGAUGAAACCUAACGAGAAAAGUCCAGACAGUUAAGGAAAAAGAAAUUCAGUCUUCAAAGCCAAAUACACUGAUGAGAAGGAGCCAACCAGCAUGGCCACAAGCUCCACCCCCGCCCCCCACCUAAAACCCCAGAUGAAAAACCCCUACCCGCUUUUUAAGGGGAAGCCAGCGAUUCUUAAGGCACUAGCUGCUGCUUUGCUCCCUCUGCCUGAAAAAGAAGGUGCAGCUGUUUUUCCCUCUCAUCCAGGACUCUUCUUGUUAUUUGGGUUGGCACCAGGUUCAGAGACCGAACUUUCGGUUACAACACCUAGAGCCUUCACAGUCCAUCACGUGCAGAGCUUGCUCUAUGGUCAUGGUGGACCCCCUGGGGUCUUGCUCCUGAAGCAGCCCAGGUGUCAGAACCAGACCAGCAAUGACCCUGCUCUGCCCCCGUGACUCUAACCCUGACGUUGAAGCUGGAAGAAAUGGAUUUGAUGCUGUUUAAAGCAUGUCAUUGUCACAAUGCUGCGCUUGGCUCCAGUCCCAUCUCAGGCUUCAGUCCUUCCCAGGGUGUCUGAUUCCUACCCUCUCUGCUUCUGCAUCCUGUGGUCCUGCCCACAGUGGACGUCUGUGUCCUUCUCCAUCUCCUCUGGACCCUGACCUGCAUGGGCGCACAUCCCGGACUUGGUCCCACCCUCCUCACUUUGAGCAACUCAUCUCACACCAUGGGGAAACACAAGUGUCUUCUGCUCUUCUUAGUCUUCUCCUCACUCGCUCCUCAGUCCCCAUUCCAUCUUCCCAAUUUGGAGACCCUCACCUGGGGGGAAGGACAAUAAAGUUCAUUGUCUUUCUUCUUGGCAGCUUUUUUGAAAGCCAAGAUGAGUGACACUCAAGCUGAGAAGUCUAUGAUUGCCAUAAUCGAGCUGUUUCACAAAUACACCAGACAUGAUGACGCAAUUGACAAGCCAGGCCUGUUGAAGAUGCUGAAGGAGAAUUUCCCCAACUUCCUUGCUGCCUGUAUGAGUUGGAGUCUGGCUUCUUAUUGUUGCUUGAGCCCUGGCAUGACUGAGGACACAUUUUUUGUUGUGUGACCUUGGACAAGUCACUCUCAUUCUCUGAUCCUCAAGAUUUUCAUCUGCAAAAGGGCAUAGUAGAACUUCAUAUCCUGGAUUAUCAUCAGGGUAUAAAGAGAUGUAUGUGGCACAGUGUGAAGAUGUAUGGAUAUAAACAGUAGUUAUUAGGUGGUCAAGAAAACACUACAACUAGAGGGCAGCAAACAGGUCCCCUCCUGUCACACUCCCUCCAGGAGACUCAAGCCCAUUUGUUCAGGGCCUGCCUCUAGAGGCUCCCAUUAAUGUCCCGGAAAUUUGAGGGAAGGCAACAGAAAUGCCAUCAAUGAUAGAAAUUGCUGGCUCUCCCGCAAGAUAGGGACCCUCCAUGGAGCCACAAAUUGGGGUCGGCAUUCACCUCUAUCCCCAGUCCUCCAUCCAGACUGUGUCUCCUGCUGCUCUCAUCAGCACCCACUCCUUGAGACUCAUGUCAUCUGGCCACAUCACCCCCUACCCUCCUACUCACGGUCUCCUACUAACCUCUUAAUCAGGCAAACAUUGUUCUUGCAGGAAUCAGGCAACUGUCUCCAAAUUCCCUUUCUCAUAGGGUUAGUUAUUUGUCCAUGUGGAUGACUCGUCCACUCCCUACUUACACCUUUCCUUGAGCACCUCAAUUCCCAGACUAUCACCUCCUCUCCACUCAGGCCUCACCACAUUCUGCACCUUGUCAUCAUUUGAGACAUGUCUGAAAUUUCCACCUCCUACAUCCCACUCUCUGGCCACUAUUGUGUGUUCCCUCCUCCUCUCCUUGUCUUUCCACCUGUUCUUCAAACUCAGGAAGAUCUGCCUUCCCUGGGCCUGUUCAUUUCUCUCGAAUCUGAAGCCCCUGCUCCAUCUCUGUGCAGCCUGCACUCCAGAAUUCAACACAGCAAUUGCCCCAUACCUACUGUCAACUCUGGGCCUACUUUCCUUUGGGCCACACCAUCCCUGCAACCCUCCAAUCCUGGACCAACCCCUCCGUUUGUCUUCUCUCCUCCUGCACCACAACUGCUCUCACUAUGGGGAAACAUCAUGGCAGGGCUCCCAAGAGCUGGUGUCUGACUCCCUCUCUGCCCAGCCUUCCCUGGACCCCUCCUAGGAACCUAGCUCCUGGUGUUCCAGAUAUCGCAACUCCUACCCCAACACACCUUAUUGUUGCCUGCCUCAAUGUCAAUUUUCUAACCUCUUCCUCUGCCAGAAAUGUCUUUCAAUGUCUCGUCUGCCUGGUUAAAAUCAUAUUUCACUACUGAAUGUAAAUAUCAACUUCUCUUUAGUGAUUAUUUUUGGAUGUGAACCCCCAACCUUUCCCCCAAAGAAAUGUCCUCUGUCUCCUUUGUGCCUCCCCUCACCCUGAACCUACUUUUAUUAUAGCGAUCACAUCACGUCAUUUUCCCCCAUGUCUGUAUUCCAUGCAGACUUUGAGUUUAUGGAGGGAAAGAACAGUUACUUUCGCAUCAUUGAUCCCUAGCACCUAGCAGUGUCCAGGUGUCACUGGCCAUGGACUCUGACUUAUUCCUCUUGUCUUGUCUGACCUAUUUCUCUCAUCUUAUCUGACUUACCUCUUUGUUUCACUGAAAAUUGCAGAUGUUCUUUUCUCUAACUCCCUGAUGUUGUUUGUUUCAGCCACAUUCCAGGAAGAACAAAAACACCAACCACCUUGAACUAGUCUAGACCACACUAUAGGACUAACAUGUGCACAGAAUAACCAAGCAGCACCCUAGAGUAACCUUUGCUUCAUUUCAAUGCUACAAUCACCCACCCAGGAGGCGCUUAAGCUUUAUUAACAUAACGUGUGAUAUACGUGAAAACAUGAUCUCAAACUACACCUGCACAAGCUUAUACCCACCUCUACGUGUGAUGACAAAACUUCCCUCUUGAAUAUUCGUUCCCUACCCCAAAUAAAGGCUCCUCUUUCCUUUUGCUUGGGGAGCCAUGGCUUUGAGAAAUUAUUCCCUGUGAUCUCCU